CCAAAAGCUGGCGACCGGCGCACGGGUGAGUGACACGUAUCCAACCUGCCUCAUACUCGGGGAUAGCCUUUCGAAAGAAAGAUUAAUAUCCGAUAGCAUAUAUUUCCCGCAUGGGUUUUAUAUUAAAGAAAUUCGGUAUGAGAUGGGGAUGCGUUCCAUUAGUUUGUUGGGGGGGUAACGGCCCACCAAGACUACGAUGGAUAGGGGUUCUGAGAGGAAGGUCCCCCACAUUGGAACUGAGACGCGGUCCAA
Molecule: ribosomal RNA, 252 nt
Filed under: uncultured bacterium
Lineage: Bacteria
Description: partial 16S ribosomal RNA
Rfam family: Bacterial small subunit ribosomal RNA
Source: RNAcentral